GAGGAGAGGAGGGCAGUAUGAAGUUUUAACCCUGAUGUGGAAAAUGGAAGUAUCACUUUAUAUCUUAAUUUCACACUUCAUGUAGUGAUUUACAAAUAAUAAAACUACAUCUCCGUCUGUCAUCUAUUUGUCUUUUAGUGAGUGGAGAGGAGAGGAGAGGAGAGGAGGGAGGGCCAAAGCAAGUGUGGGCUCUCAUUCAAAAGUGAAGAGGAGAGGAGAGGAUGCCAGAGGUCAACAGGAAGUCUCUCUGAUGCAAAUGAGAAGAGCAGAGGAAAGGUGGGCGAGAGGAGAUGAAAAGGGACAGAAAAAGCCACUGUACCUGCCAGAUAAAAUGACUGAACCAGAUUGCAGAAAGAUGAAUUCACUGGACCAAACUUCAGAAGCUGCCAGAAGUCAAACUCAUCUCACCACAAUGACUUUUGACACAAUCAAACAGUAAACAUGUGUUUCCAAUGAAAAGUCAAAACGAGAAGAAAUGUUUCAGUUUGGUUUCUGAGGUUUAGAUCUUACCUCAUGUUUAAUGACUUUGUAUGUUGGGGAAUCAAAAUAGUCUGUGUUUAUAUUGUGUUGUACUAAUGAUUGGAAAUUCUGCCACCCUCAAAAAAAUCUGUGGAUUAUUCUGAGUAACUGGAAAGAUACAAUACUGUUCAACAUGGUUUUUCUAAGCUUUGAAGACCACAAGACAAGUGUCCUCUAGUUCCAGUAUAUUCAAGAGAAGGCAGACAAAAUGAUGGCUGAAAUCUCCAAAACAAUGACUUUUUAAAUUUUGGUGUGAGCUGUCCCUUUAAUCUCUGGCACAGAAAAGCCAAAGAUGCGUUUGUGGAGUGAUUCAAGUGCAGGUGUUCUGUCACUAGAAGGCAGUAUGAGCCUGAGCACGCUCCUCUCAACAUCAGUGGAGAGAGUGGAGAACAUCAAGUUCCUCAGAGUGCAGAAUCAGAUCUCGCACAACCUGAGCUGGAAUAAAAACACCUCAGGGAUCACGAAACAGGCCCAGCAGAGACUGUCUUUCCUGAGGAAGCUGAAACAAGCCUCGCUCCCCAUCAGCAUCCUCAGGACCUUCUACGGUGGUGUGGUGGAGAGCGUUAUUCUCGCACUGUAUCUCAACAUGGUACUCCAACAGUCACAUUAACAGCUUCUUUCCACAAACUGUUAGACUGAUGAGCUGCUGAUCUGGAGCAUGUGCACUGAUGCACUUCAUGAGCCCUAAGUCAUAGUUUGUAUAUUGAUAUAUUGUGUGUUAUUAAUUGUGUCUUCUGUUAUUGAUUCUGGAGAAACAUAAUCUCAUAGAUUAGCGCACGAUAAUCACAUUAUUAUGUAUGCAAAAUGAGCCACGGGAGUCUGUGAUGUAAAGUUUCUGUCCAUCAGAUCAAAAGGCAGAUUUCUGGCAGGAUGGGUCACGGUUGGCUGAACUUCCCAUCACUCCCACCAAACCUCACCAUUGCACCUUACUGAAAUGUUGGUGUUCAAGAGAGGUGAGUAACCGGUGUCUGCACUGAUCCAUUUUAAGAUGUCAUCAGAGGACCAAAUUGACCAAAAUUACGCUUGAGGAUUAUAAACAGCAGUGUUGAAUUAAAGUCACUUGUGAAUCUUG
Acanthopagrus latus (yellowfin seabream) is the source of this 1591-nucleotide long non-coding RNA. RefSeq lists it as uncharacterized. The record is from RefSeq and is a predicted model, not a curated record. NCBI's taxonomy places the organism in Eukaryota, Metazoa, Chordata, Actinopteri, Spariformes, Sparidae. The transcript is spliced from 4 exons.